UCCAAACCUGGUUGUACAUUAAAAGAGGCUGGGUGGCAUGUGAAAAAAUACAGAUUCCAGAGACCUAGCACGACCUACUGACUCGAAAAUCGUGUGCUGGAGGGGCCCAGCAACCUGGCUUUGGAACCUGCUGCCUGGCGAUUUCAGCGUAGGCAGGCCUGUCGCUGAGACUGAGAACCAGAAGCUUGGCCACGCCCCACGGCCCUUCUAGCUUCGCGGAGUGUGGAUUCGGGGUCUCCUGACCCCCUCCCUGCUCCGCCCGGCAGUGCUCCACCACCACCCACACCACACACAAGGAACCUGUCGGCCCCUUUCUUUGGUGACUCCUUCGGGCCUCGGGGAGGUCUCAGAAUUUUGUGGACGUUCAGCAAACGAGCCCUUUGCUCCAGCGUUUGCGGGUGGCUCAUCAACACCUGUGUCAGAUUGCUGGGUAACGGUGGUUCCUUCCAGGAUAAUAUGCUGCCUCUGUAGAGCACUUAAAAAGCUCAUCUUCGGGCACUUGCACUCACUUUCACACGGCGCUGGAAUCGCGAGCCCUUUCUGUCCGUCUCGCCGUGUGAGUUGGAGUCCGCAGAGGGGACACAGAUGGGAAUGAUGUUGACCUGAGAGAUCUGUAGCAACACAAUCAGACAAGGGCUUAGAAGCAUCUUUCUGCCCAUGAAUCCUCCAGUCCAGUGUUUCCUGCUGAGUAAAGCAAUCUCCGAGUCAUCCAGGAGAGUAAGAUUUAUGCCAGGGGAUACACAGAUCACGUGGAGUCUGGCGGCAGAACCCUCAGGGACCAAAGUGUGUGCCUGGCGUCUGGAUGGAGCAUGACAAGGAGAUGAGCAUAAAACCUUUAGGAGAGUAAGGAAGGAGGAGCUCCGGGGGAGGAGCUAAGCCAUCUGCCCAGGAAUGUGGAGAUUUAUCUUCAACACAGAGGGCACUUCAGCCCAAUCUGACUCGUGGGAGCAGCUCAGCCCAGUCGGCACCUCAGCCCAGUCGGCACCUCAUGCUGGACUCUAUGUAAAAGGGGGAUCCAGCUAAGCCCCCCCAGUAGCAGGCAGAGCCCUGAACUGGUCUCCUGCCCUUGUCUCCAUUGCCAUGCCUCUCCCAGCUCCAGAACACCAGCCGUUACUUUCCACCACUCUCCCCUCUCACUUCAGGUUGGAUGCUGAACUCCGAACGUCUCAGGAAUGACACUGACUUUACAAAUCGGCAGCCCCCUCGCCCCUGCUCCCCACCCUCUGCCACCACAUAAUCUCAGGGAACACGCCUGAGGGUGUGACCCAGCCCUGAGACCUUCCAUCAGGCAUCACGGGUCCUGUCCUGGGCAACAUCCUGUGUAACCAGUUAGGAAAAAUUUGAUUCAGCCUUGGAGCAAAUGAAAAAGUAACUACAGUUCACACUUGUUAUGUCGUGAGAAGACCUGAAAAAAAAUUAUCUUGUUGACAUAAGGAAGUAAGAAUUUUAAGUGCUGUGUUGGUGAAUAUAUAGAUAUUUUCUUAUCCAAGUGUAAUUGACAUACAAUGUCCUAUCAGUGCUAGGUGUAUAUCACAGCAUUUAAUAUUUUUAUUCAUUACGAAAUGAUCCCCAUGCUAAGCCUAGUCACCAUCUGUCGCCAUACAACCUUGCUACAAUAUUAUUGACUAUACUCCCUAUGCUGCACAUUACAUCCCCCUAACUUAUUUAUUUUAUAACCGGAAGUUUGUACCUCUUCAUAUCUUUCACCUGUUUUUCCAGCCCCAAGCCCC
Long non-coding RNA from Neofelis nebulosa (Clouded leopard), 1730 nucleotides. RefSeq lists it as uncharacterized. The record is from RefSeq and is a predicted model, not a curated record. The transcript is spliced from 3 exons. NCBI's taxonomy places the organism in Eukaryota, Metazoa, Chordata, Mammalia, Carnivora, Felidae.